UUACGGCUACAUCACGUUGAAACACAGGUUUCCGUACAAUCACCGAAGUUAAGCAACGUCGAGCUCGGUCAGUACCUAGAUGGAUGGCCGCUUAUGAAUACCAGGUGAUGUAAG
Molecule: non-coding RNA, 114 nt
Organism: Acanthosepion pharaonis
Lineage: Eukaryota; Metazoa; Mollusca; Cephalopoda; Sepiida; Sepiidae
Source: the annotation of a GenBank genome assembly